UACAGAGGGUGCGAGCGUUAAUCGGAAUUACUGGGCGUAAAGCGUGCGUAGGUGGUUUGUUAAGUCUGAUGUGAAAGCCCCGGGCUCAACCUGGGAAUGGCCGUUGAAACUGGCGAACUGGAGUGUGGCAGAGGGGGGUGGAAUUCCGCGUGUAGCAGUGAAAUGCGUAGAGAUGCGGAGGAACACCGAUGGCGAAGGCAGCCCCCUGGGCUGACACUGACGCUCAGGCACGAAAGCGUGGGGAGCAAACAGG
This 253-nucleotide ribosomal RNA is filed under the name uncultured bacterium. RNAcentral describes it as "partial 16S ribosomal RNA". It matches the Rfam family "Bacterial small subunit ribosomal RNA", at positions 524 to 776 of the family's 1533-position model. The record is from RNAcentral.